This 252-nucleotide ribosomal RNA is filed under the name uncultured bacterium. RNAcentral's name for it is "partial 16S ribosomal RNA". It matches the Rfam family "Bacterial small subunit ribosomal RNA", at positions 524 to 776 of the family's 1533-position model. The record is from RNAcentral.
UACGUAGGGGGCGAGCGUUGUCCGGAAUUAUUGGGCGUAAAGGGUUCGCAGGCGGUUUUUUAAGUCAGAUGUGAAAGGCUACGGCUCAACCGUGGUAAGCAUUUGAAACUGAAAGACUUGAGUUAAGGAGAGGAAAGUGGAAUUCCUAGUGUAGCGGUGAAAUGCGUAGAUAUUAGGAGGAAUACCAGUGGCGAAGGCGACUUUCUGGACUUAUACUGACGCUGAGGAACGAAAGCGUGGGGAGCAAACAGG